AUUGAACGCUGGCGGCAUGCCUUACACAUGCAAGUCGAACGGCAGCACGGGUGCUUGCCCCUGGUGGCGAGUGGCGAACGGGUGAGUAAUACAUCGGAACAUGUCCUGUAGUGGGGGAUAGCCCGGCGAAAGCCGGAUUAAUACCGCAUACGAUCUACGGAUGAAAGCGGGGGCCCUUCGGGCCUCGCGCUAUAGGGUUGGCCGAUGGCUGAUUAGCUUGUUGGUGGGGUAAAGGCCUACCAAGGCGACGAUCAGUAGCUGGUCUGAGAGGACGACCAGCCACACUGGGACUGAGACACGGCCCAGACUCCUACGGGAGGCAGCAGUGGGGAAUUUUGGACAAUGGGCGAAAGCCUGAUCCAGCAAUGCCGCGUGUGUGAAGAAGGCCUUCGGGUUGUAAAGCACUUUUGUCCGGAAAGAAAUCCUUGGCCCUAAUACGGUCGGGGGAUGACGGUACCGGAAGAAUAAGCACCGGCUAACUACGUG
Molecule: ribosomal RNA, 486 nt
Filed under: uncultured bacterium
Lineage: Bacteria
Description: partial 16S ribosomal RNA
Rfam family: Bacterial small subunit ribosomal RNA
Source: RNAcentral